AGUGAACACUGGCGGUAGGCCUAACACAUGCGAGUCGAACGGCAGCACAGUAAGAGCUUGCUCUUACGGGUGGCGAGUGGCGGACGGGUGAGGAAUACAUCGGAAUCUACUUUUUCGUGGGGGAUAACGUAGGGAAACUUACGCUAAUACCGCAUACGACCUACGGGUGAAAGCAGGGGAUCUUCGGACCUUGCGCGAUUGAAUGAGCCGAUGUCGGAUUAGCUAGUUGGCGGGGUAAAGGCCCACCAAGGCGACGAUCCGUAGCUGGUCUGAGAGGAUGAUCAGCCACACUGGAACUGAGACACGGUCCAGACUCCUACGGGAGGCAGCAGUGGGGAAUAUUGGACAAUGGGCGCAAGCCUGAUCCAGCCAUACCGCGUGGGUGAAGAAGGCCUUCGGGUUGUAAAGCCCUUUUGUUGGGAAAGAAAAGCAGCAGGUUAAUACCCCGCUGUUCUGACGGUACCCAAAGAAUAAGCACCAGCUAACUUCGUG
Molecule: ribosomal RNA, 492 nt
Filed under: uncultured bacterium
Lineage: Bacteria
Description: partial 16S ribosomal RNA
Rfam family: Bacterial small subunit ribosomal RNA
Source: RNAcentral